AUUGGACGCUAGCGGCAUGCUUAACACAUGCAAGUCGAGCGGCAGCGCGGGGAAACCUGGCGGCGAGCGGCGGACGGGUGAGUAAUACGUAGGAAUCUGCCUUGUAAUGGGGGACAACCCGGGGAGACUCGGGCUAAUACCGCAUAAUCUCUAAGGAGGAAAGUAGGGGACCUUCGGGCCUUACGUUAUAAGAUGAGCCUGCGUCGGAUUAGCUAGUUGGUGGGGUAAAGGCCUACCAAGGCGACGAUCCGUAGCUGGUCUGAGAGGACGAUCAGCCACACUGGGACUGAGACACGGGCCAGACUCCUACGGGAGGCAGCAGGGGGGAAUAUUGGACAAUGGGGAAACCCUGAUCCAGCAAUGCCGCGUGUGUGAAGAAGGCCUUCGGGUUGUAAAGCACUUUCAGUGGGGAAGAACUAAUUCAAGGUUAAUAACCUUGAGUCUUGACAUUACCUACAGAAGAAGCACCGGCAAACUCUGUGCCAGCCGCCGCGGUAA
RNAcentral lists this ribosomal RNA (498 nucleotides) under uncultured bacterium. RNAcentral describes it as "partial 16S ribosomal RNA". It matches the Rfam family "Bacterial small subunit ribosomal RNA", at positions 30 to 523 of the family's 1533-position model. The record is from RNAcentral.